RNAcentral lists this ribosomal RNA (420 nucleotides) under uncultured bacterium. Its description in RNAcentral is "bacterial SSU rRNA". It matches the Rfam family "Bacterial small subunit ribosomal RNA", at positions 971 to 1393 of the family's 1533-position model. The record is from RNAcentral.
UUACCAAGGCUUGACAUGGAUUUCUAAGCACGUGAAAGCGUGUGACCCUUCGGGGGACUUCCACAGGUGCUGCAUGGCCGUCUCAGCUCGUGUCGUGAGAUGUUGGGUUAAGUCCCGCAACGAGCGCAACCCCUGUGAACUGUUGCCAGCACGUAAUGGUGGGGACUCUGUUCAGACUGCCCAGAUCAACUGGGAGGAAGGUGGGGACGACGUCAGGUCAGUAUGGCCCUUACGCCUUGGGCUGCACACGUACUACAAUGCCCAGUACAAUGAGAACCGAGACCGCGAGGUGGAGGAAAUCUACAAAACUGGGCCCAGUUCGGAUUGGAGGCUGCAACUCGCCUCCAUGAAGCCGGAAUCGCUAGUAAUGCUGCAUCAGCUACGGCAGCGUGAAUACGUUCCCGGGUCUGUACACACCGA